Molecule: ribosomal RNA, 292 nt
Filed under: uncultured bacterium
Lineage: Bacteria
Description: partial 16S ribosomal RNA
Rfam family: Bacterial small subunit ribosomal RNA
Source: RNAcentral
GUGUCAGCAGCCGCGGUAAUACGUAGGGUGCGAGCGUUAAUCGGAAUUACUGGGCGUAAAGCGCAUGUAGGUGGUUUGUUAAGCUAGCUGUGAAAUCCCCGGGCUUAACCUGGGAACUGCGCUUGUGACUGCAAGACUCGAGUACGGCGGAGGGGGGUAGAAUUCCACGUGUAGCAGUGAGAUGCGUAGAGAUGCGGAGGAACACCGAUGGCGAAGGCAGCCCCCUGGGCUAGCACUGACGCUCAGGCACGAAAGCGUGGGGAGCAAACAGGAUUAGAUACCCCAGUAGUCC